This 478-nucleotide ribosomal RNA is filed under the name uncultured bacterium. RNAcentral describes it as "partial 16S ribosomal RNA". It matches the Rfam family "Bacterial small subunit ribosomal RNA", at positions 28 to 507 of the family's 1533-position model. The record is from RNAcentral.
GAUGAACGCUGGCGGCGUGCCUAAUACAUGCAAGUCGAACGGAGUCCAGCCUUAGAGACCUUCGGGUCAAAGAGGGGAAGACUGAGUGGCGGACGGGUGAGUAACACGUGGGCAACCUGGCUCAUAGAGGGGGAUAACAGAGAGAAAUUUCUGCUAAUACCGCAUAAGCACACACUGCCGCAUGGCAGAGUGUGAAAAGAGAAUCGCUAUGAGAUGGACCCGCGUCUGAUUAGCCAGUUGGCAGGGUAAGAGCCUACCAAAGCGACGAUCAGUAGCCGAUUUGAGAGGAUGAACGGCCACAUUGGGACUGAGACACGGCCCAAACUCCUACGGGAGGCAGCAGUGGGGGGUAUUGCACAAUGGGGGGAACCCUGAUGCAGCGACGCCGCGUGAGUGAAGAAGUAUUUCGGUAUGUAAAGCUCUAUCAGCAGGGAAGAUAAUGACAGUACCUGAAUAAGAAGCCCCGGCUAACUACGUG